UUGAACGCUGGCGGCAGGCCUAACACAUGCAAGUCGAACGGUAACAGGAAGCAGCUUGCUGCUUCGCUGACGAGUGGCGGACGGGUGAGUAAUGUCUGGGAAACUGCCUGAUGGAGGGGGAUAACUACUGGAAACGGUGGCUAAUACCGCAUAACGUCGCAAGACCAAAGAGGGGGACCUUCGGGCCUCUUGCCAUCAGAUGUGCCCAGAUGGGAUUAGCUWGUUGGUGAGGUAACGGCUCACCAAGGCGACGAUCCCUAGCUGGUCUGAGAGGAUGACCAGCCACACUGGAACUGAGACACGGUCCAGACUCCUACGGGAGGCAGCAGUGGGGAAUAUUGCACAAUGGGCGCAAGCCUGAUGCAGCCAUGCCGCGUGUAUGAAGAAGGCCUUCGGGUUGUAAAGUACUUUCAGCGGGGAGGAAGGUGUUGYGGUUAAUAACCGCAGCAAUUGACGUUACCCGCAGAAGAAGCACCGGCUAACUCCGU
This 488-nucleotide ribosomal RNA is filed under the name Salmonella enterica subsp. enterica serovar Virchow. RNAcentral's name for it is "bacterial SSU rRNA". It matches the Rfam family "Bacterial small subunit ribosomal RNA", at positions 30 to 506 of the family's 1533-position model. The record is from RNAcentral. Lineage: Bacteria; Pseudomonadati; Pseudomonadota; Gammaproteobacteria; Enterobacterales; Enterobacteriaceae.